This 1086-nucleotide ribosomal RNA is filed under the name Triticum aestivum (bread wheat). Its description in RNAcentral is "partial small subunit ribosomal RNA". The record is from RNAcentral. Lineage: Eukaryota; Viridiplantae; Streptophyta; Magnoliopsida; Poales; Poaceae.
AUGCCGUCCUUCACCCCGGUGCCAUGGUCCCCCCUCGGAGAGCGCCAGCGCUUCCUCGCCAUCCCUGAUCAGCCUCAGGGCAACCAGGCAGUGGUGCUCACCUCGCGCCGUGGCCUUGUUGUUGUGUGCGCCGUCUCACUCGACGCCCCCAACAGCGUGAUCCUGACAGUGUGCGAUCCAAUCGCCGGCACAAGUCGCCGGCUGCCUCCGUUGAAAUUCGACAAUACGUCUUCUCGAAUAAAUGGAUGUACCAUUGUAACCCGUGCGGAUUGUUGCCGGGCCAAACGGCGAGGGGCGGCGCCGUCAGUCUACUCGUCCUUCAAAGUGUUCAUCAUCAGCUUCGACACACAGUACAAUUUUCACGUGUUCGCGUCCAAUGAGUCGAGCUGGAGAACGCCUAUAAACUGGUUUAAACCUGUGGAUUAUGCCGGACAUGUGGUGCCACAGCAGGUCAACAUUGUCGUGUGCCGAGGCAUGGCACACUGGCUCUUUGGGUACAUGUCAAACUUCUACACACUCAAUGUGUGUGCUAAGACCACGCGGAUGUCUUUAACUAAGCUACCAGUCACACCGAACCACCUCGGCCUCAAGUUUUCCAGUGCCCUGCUUAAUGUCACCAGUGACGGGAAGCUAUCGUUGCUUGGUUUAUAUACGGACUGCACCGGGCUGGAGAUCUGGACACAUCAAGGUGACAACAAGAGUGAAGAUGCCACGGCAGACUGCUGGCAUUACACCAAGAUGAUUGAGCUAAAACAACCCAAGCACAGUGCGGUCAACCUGGUGCAAUGUGUGUGCGUGAGCGAGAUAAGCGGUAAACUGCUUGUCAAGGACAAUCAAGAUUGCGUGCACAUUGUACAUCUCCAAACUGGGGCGAUGGACAAUGUCACCGACUGGUUUUGCGGCAUUGUCACGAUGGCUGUCCCAUUUGAGGUGGAUUGGCCAGCCUUGUUCAUGUCUCGCUUGGCGCGCGGUGGAAUCAAGCGGAAUAAACUGAGAAGAGCUAUAUCAAAAAUUGCUUACCAUUUAUGGGGACCAAUAGUUGUGUCAAUUAUCUUUGGGUCAGUUGCUAUGAGUCGGUACUAUUAG